AGCAUCAUCCUAAUCCUAAUUCAGUUUCUUUAUCCCUUGCCCUGUUUGUAGGCCUUCUUUUAUUUGAGGAAGGCAAGCAGUCUUCUGGGCCAACCCUCAGCAUUUUCAUUUUUGAAAAAACACAAGGCGAAGAUCUGUCAGUUUGAGGAGGCCACUUUCUGCUGUUUUCUGUCAGAGGUCUGUUUCAGCAUGGGACACAUUACUUUAGCCAAAAAAUUGGCUAGGAAAGCCCUUCUACUGCUGAAAAGGAAUUUCCCUCAGACCUGGUUUGGUGUCCUUUUCCAGAUAUUCCUGGAAAAGUAUUGGCAUUCCUGUUCCCCAAGCCAACCUCCAAAUAAUCCUAGUGAGAGUAAGAAGAAGUUGGCAGUCCUGCAGCAGCAGGUGCAUUGCCUCUCCCUACUCUGGCAGCUCUAUAACCUGGAGACCACAGCCAGUAGCUGCAGGUUUGCUUGCCUCGCUACUCUCAUGCAGAAAAAUUCAGCCGAGGAGCUUGCAAAUGAAGCCCAGGUUUGCCCAGGAGUCACAAUGGGACCUCUUUGAGCACUAUUUUUCUAAGUCGUGCCAGUUGGUGAAAAGAACCAAUGCCUCACUAUUUGGUGCUCAUGGCUUUGUCCGAUUCCUAGAGUGCCAUGUGUUAAUGUUACAGAAAAUGCCAGAGGGUAUCUUCAUGCAUAUUCCCCUAGAGCUUCGCAGCCAAACGCUCGAGGUA
RNAcentral lists this long non-coding RNA (709 nucleotides) under Cebus imitator (Panamanian white-faced capuchin). RNAcentral's name for it is "lncRNA (ENSCCAG00000038181.1)". Lineage: Eukaryota; Metazoa; Chordata; Mammalia; Primates; Cebidae. The record is from RNAcentral.